RNAcentral lists this ribosomal RNA (549 nucleotides) under uncultured bacterium. Its description in RNAcentral is "bacterial SSU rRNA". It matches the Rfam family "Bacterial small subunit ribosomal RNA", at positions 355 to 896 of the family's 1533-position model. The record is from RNAcentral.
UGGGGAAUUUUGGACAAUGGGCGCAAGCCUGAUCCAGCCAUGCCGCGUGUCUGAAGAAGGCCUUCGGGUUGUAAAGGACUUUUGUCAGGGAAGAAAAGGCUGUUGCUAAUACCGACAGCUGAUGACGGUACCUGAAGAAUAAGCACCGGCUAACUACGUGCCAGCAGCCGCGGUAAUACGUAGGGUGCGAGCGUUAAUCGGAAUUACUGAGCGUAAAGCGAGCGCAGACAGUUACUUAAGCAGGAUGUGAAAUCCCCGGGCUCAACCUGGGAACUGCGUUCUGAACUGGGUGACUAGAGUGUGUCAGAGGGAGGUAGAAUUCCACGUGUAGCAGUGAAAUGCGUAGAGAUGUGGAGGAAUACCGAUGGCGAAGGCAGCCUCCUGGGAUAACACUGACGUUCAUGCUCGAAAGCGUGGGUAGCAAACAGGAUUAGAUACCCUGGUAGUCCACGCCCUAAACGAUGUCAAUUAGCUGUUGGGCAACUUGAUUGCUUAGUAGCGUAGCUAACGCGUGAAAUUGACCGCCUGGGGAGUACGGUCGCAAGAUUA